UACGUAGGAGGCAAGCGUUGUCCGGAAUCACUGGGCGUAAAGCGCACGUAGGCGGUUUGUUAAGUCAGGGGUGAAAUCCCAGAGCUCAACUCUGGAACUGCCUUUGAUACUGGCAAGCUAGAGUCCGGAAGAGGUAAGUGGAACUCCUAGUGUAGAGGUGGAAUUCGCAGAUAUUAGGAAGAACACCAGUGGCGAAGGCGGCUUACUGGUCCGGAACUGACGCUGAGGUGCGAAAGCGUGGGGAGCAAACAGG
RNAcentral lists this ribosomal RNA (253 nucleotides) under uncultured bacterium. Its description in RNAcentral is "partial 16S ribosomal RNA". It matches the Rfam family "Bacterial small subunit ribosomal RNA", at positions 524 to 776 of the family's 1533-position model. The record is from RNAcentral.